ACAUUAUAAGAGCAGCCGUUUUCCCUCUUUCCCUGUUUGAAGGAGGUGGUAAUGCAACUAAAAAGGAUGCCAACUGCUGUAAAACACCAAAGAAGGAGAAUUUUCACUGUAAAACAAGCUAAAGAACAGCAUGAUUCAAGGAGACUAAAGGAGGGGUGAUGCGAGAUCCAUGUGAGAAAUGCCCAGUCUGCGAAAGCGGGAUAGAAUGUCAAAGUGUCACCUAAUUCACUUCUUUUGAGGUGGACAUUUCGUUUAAUUUUGGAAAAUGGUCCGUCCGGAAGCCGACACUGAAGAGCGGUGUCAUUUCGAACAGCGAACUGAUCCAGCUGAGGAUCAACUUCAUGCAGAUGCUUAUCAGGAAACACGGCCUAGUUCACCACUAGCUAAGAGGCCAUGCAAGCUUUGCCAGAGUGGCAGUCUCAUCUUCCAUGUGUAUAGUUUGCUUCAAUAAAUGUUCUGAAAAUCAAAAGUUGUCUGUUUCUGUCUUCUAAAUGGCUCACUGAGUCUUUGUCUUAGUGGUGGGGAGGCAUGCGCCCAGGUGUGAAUA
Anguilla rostrata (American eel) is the source of this 547-nucleotide long non-coding RNA. RefSeq lists it as uncharacterized. NCBI's taxonomy places the organism in Eukaryota, Metazoa, Chordata, Actinopteri, Anguilliformes, Anguillidae. The record is from RefSeq and is a predicted model, not a curated record. The transcript has 3 exons.